This 73-nucleotide transfer RNA is filed under the name Ictidomys tridecemlineatus (thirteen-lined ground squirrel). RNAcentral describes it as "Spermophilus tridecemlineatus (thirteen-lined ground squirrel) tRNA". It matches the Rfam family "tRNA". Rfam says of the family: Transfer RNA (tRNA) molecules are approximately 80 nucleotides in length. Lineage: Eukaryota; Metazoa; Chordata; Mammalia; Rodentia; Sciuridae. The record is from Rfam by way of RNAcentral.
GGGAGUGUGGCUCAGUGGUAGAGCACUUGCAUUAGCAUGUGUGAGGCACUGGGUUCAAUUCUCAGCACUACAU